UACGUAGGGUGCGAGCGUUGUCCGGAAUUAUUGGGCGUAAAGGGCUCGUAGGCGGUUUGUCGCGUCGGGAGUGAAAUCCACUGGCUUAACUGGUGGCUUGCUUUCGAUACGGGCAGACUGGAGGUAUGCAGGGGAGAACGGAAUUCCUGGUGUAGCGGUGAAAUGCGCAGAUAUCAGGAGGAACACCAGUGGCGAAGGCGGCCCGCUGGGCAGUGGCUGACGCUGAGGCGCGACAGCGUGGGGAGCAAACAGG
Molecule: ribosomal RNA, 253 nt
Filed under: uncultured bacterium
Lineage: Bacteria
Description: partial 16S ribosomal RNA
Rfam family: Bacterial small subunit ribosomal RNA
Source: RNAcentral